Lolium rigidum is the source of this 1644-nucleotide long non-coding RNA. RefSeq lists it as uncharacterized. The transcript has 9 exons. NCBI's taxonomy places the organism in Eukaryota, Viridiplantae, Streptophyta, Magnoliopsida, Poales, Poaceae. The record is from RefSeq and is a predicted model, not a curated record.
GGCGGCAAGGAGAAUGUCCCGUAUGGUGAUCAGCUGAGUGAGCAGGCCUCAAAUCGGCAAGAUGAAAACAUGAAGCAGUUGGAGAACAAUGAGAAUGCUCAUGAAAAGGUUGUUGAAAGGCAGAACAAGGUGAAUGCCCAGAGCAAGGGUUAAGCUCAAGAGAACCAUUCAUAGGCCAUUUAGAGUGAGGAUCAGUGAAAGACAAGUGUUGAAAGAAGCAAAGCCAGAAAGAAAACAAGACUGGCCGAGAAGAACACCAUGCAGUACUUAAGGAUGAAAAUAGACUAGUGAUGCAAACUGGAAGAUGUCCUGAUGGAAAGGGACGAGAUACAUUGACUUGUGGAGAGGAACUGCCUCCUAGCUGCUCCGACCAGGCGUAUGAGCACCUCUGACCUGACAAAGCUGAUGAUGCAAGCAUGUUGCUGCUGCUCCUUGUCUUCACCGACAGCCCUUCUGCCAAAGAGAGGAGAGGUUCAAAGCUCAUCGGAGGAGGAGCUGACGAGAGCGAAGUGUGGGUACUGGGGGCGGCCUCAGAGGGGAAGCAUGAGGAGGUGGAACAAUUGCAGCCUAACGAUCAUGACGACGGCGACAAGGAGAAUGUGUCGUAUGCUUGUCAGCUGACUGAGUAGGCCCCAAAUCGGCAAGAUGAAAACAUGAAGCAGUUGGAGAACAAUGAGAAUGCUCCUCAAAAGGACAAGGUGAAUACAGAGCAAGGGGAAAGCUCAAGAAAAUAAUUCAAAGGCCAUUUAGGCUUGAGGACCAAUAAAAGAAAAAUGUUGGAAGAAGCAAAGCCAGAAAGAAGACAAUGCUAUGGCCGAGAAGAACACCAUGCCAGUACUAAAGGAUGAAAAUAGACGAGUGAUGUACUAUGAUGCAGCAAACUGGAUGAUGUCCUGAUGGAAGUGGACGAGAUAUACUGACUUGCGGAGAGAAACAGGUGAGCAUUUCCCUAUCCAAAUCAAUUAGUGAAGUGAAGUUCAGUAGUUGUUAGCUUUUCCGGUUUGAGGUUAAUCUGUGUUGGUCUGUUACCAAAUCAAAGCCUGCAUAUUUUUUUAAUGUGGUGUGUUGCUAAAAAUGUUCAGAGUGUUGUGCUGCAACACGAACCAACCUUGCAGGACAGCCAGGCUAUAUAAAAAUUCGAUUUGUGCUAGGUUUAGAAGAUGUACUAUAUUUGCUAUAGGAUUGGAGUAGCUUAGUCCAUACUUGAAGCCUAGACAGAUUCGAAAUUUCAGAAUUGCUUGUAGUGAUCUAACAGGUAGAUAUGCGUGUAGUUUCUCAUCUAUUCAAGUUCUUGUCAUGUGUAGAACCAACUUGUAUUUUGAAGGUUGGCAAUCUUUUCACUUGGUUCAAAUCUGGUAUGAAUUAGUAAGUGCUAGAUCUAUACUUUGUUAUCCAUAAUCACGAGUUAAUGGAUCAUGUCUACACUGUGUGCAAGAGGAAGAAUAUAGUCUAGCAAGGGGGGAAGUAGCUGUUGCCUUUUUACAACUCACAAGAGCUUGGCCAUGGAUUAUGGUUCCACACAGAAUAUGCAUGUUUAUUAGGCAAGAUCAGAUUGUCUAGAAUGAAUCUAUUCAUGGUUAUUUUGAUGCAUAAUGCAAUCUCUUGCUUUUAUAGCUCGCUGACCAUUUCAGUUUUUGUGGUUGG